GACGAACGCUGGCGGCGUGCUUAACACAUGCAAGUCGAGCGGUAAGGCCCUUUCGGGGGUACACGAGCGGCGAACGGGUGAGUAACACGUGGGUGACCUGCCCUCAGCUCUGGGAUAAGCCCGGGAAACUGGGUCUAAUACCGGAUAUGACUCCAUGACGCAUGUUGUGGGGUGGAAAGCCUUGUGCGGCUGAGGAUGGGCCCGCGGCCUAUCAGCUUGUUGGUGGGGUGAUGGCCACCAAGGCGACGACGGGUAGCCGGCCUGAGAGGCGACCGGCCACACUGGGACUGAGAUACGGCCCAGACUCCUACGGGAGGCAGCAGUGGGGAAUCUUGCGCAAUGGGCGAAAGCCUGACGCAGCGACGCCGCGUGAGGGAUGACGGCC
This 385-nucleotide ribosomal RNA is filed under the name uncultured bacterium. RNAcentral describes it as "bacterial SSU rRNA". It matches the Rfam family "Bacterial small subunit ribosomal RNA", at positions 28 to 416 of the family's 1533-position model. The record is from RNAcentral.